Molecule: ribosomal RNA, 440 nt
Filed under: uncultured bacterium
Lineage: Bacteria
Description: bacterial SSU rRNA
Rfam family: Bacterial small subunit ribosomal RNA
Source: RNAcentral
CCUACGGGAGGCUGCAGUAGGGAAUUUUCCACAAUGGGCGAAAGCCUGAUGGAGCAACGCCGCGUGCAGGAUGAAUGCCUUUGGGUUGUAAACUGCUUUUAUAUGUGACGAUUAUGACGGUAGCAUAUGAAUAAGGAUCGGCUAACUCCGUGCCAGCAGCCGCGGUCAUACGGAGGAUCCAAGCGUUAUCCGGAAUUACUGGGCGUAAAGAGUUGCGUAGGUGGCAUAGUAAGCGAGUAGUGAAAGCGUGUGGCUCAACCAUACAUCCAUUACUUGAACUGCUAAGCUAGAAGACGAGAGAGGUAGAUGGAAUUCCCAGUGUAGGAGUGAAAUCCGUAGAUAUUGGGAGGAACACCGAUGGCGUAGGCAGUCUACUGGCUCGUUCUUGACACUAAGGCACGAAAGCGUGGGGAGCAAACGGGAUUAGAUACCCCAGUAGU